RNAcentral lists this ribosomal RNA (497 nucleotides) under uncultured Myxococcales bacterium. RNAcentral describes it as "partial 16S ribosomal RNA". Lineage: Bacteria; Pseudomonadati; Myxococcota; Myxococcia; Myxococcales. The record is from RNAcentral.
CACAGAGUUAGCCGGUGCUUCUUCUCCCGGUACCGUCAAGCCGAAGCGUAUUGGGCUUCGGGUUUUCGUCCCGGUCGAAAGUGCUUUACAAUCCAAAGACCUUCAUCACACACGCGGCGUUGCUGCGUCAGGCUUUCGCCCAUUGCGCAAAAUUCCCCACUGCUGCCUCCCGUAGGAGUCUGGACCGUGUCUCAGUUCCAGUGUGGCUGAUCGUCCUCUCAGACCAGCUACCCGUCGUUGCCUUGGUGGGCCAUUACCCCGCCAACUAGCUGAUGGGCCGCGGACUCAUCUGGUUGUGAUAGCUUGUAUACAGAGGCCACCUUUUCCCUCAGCCUCCGAAGAGACCGUGGGCUUAUCCGGUAUUAGCCAAUCUUUCGACUGGUUAUCCCAGACAUCCAGGCAGAUUAUCCACGUGUUACGCACCCGUGCGCCGCUCUACUAGGGUUACCCCAUUCGCGCUCGACUUGCAUGUGUUAGGCACGCCGCCAGCGUUCGUU